This 365-nucleotide unclassified non-coding RNA is filed under the name air metagenome. RNAcentral's name for it is "partial contains small subunit ribosomal RNA, internal transcribed spacer 1, and 5.8S ribosomal RNA". The stretch from base 1 to 46 matches the Rfam family "Eukaryotic small subunit ribosomal RNA", at positions 1786 to 1831 of the family's 1831-position model. The record is from RNAcentral.
AAGUCGUAACAAGGUUUCCGUAGGUGAACCUGCGGAAGGAUCAUUAUUGAAUUGUGUUUUCAAACACACCUGCUUGAUAGGUUGUCGCUGGCUCUUUAGAGCAUGUGCACGCCUGUCUUGACUCUAUUCAUCCACCUGUGCACCAUUUGUAGUCUUGGGGGAUGCAAGUAUCCAACUUGUCGGGCAACAUUAUUCCCGGAUGUGAGGACUGCAGUGCGAAAGCAUGGCUUUUCCCUCUACGGGUCGCAUGAACCCAAGUCUAUGUAUUUAUCCAUACACCAUGUAGUAUGUUGCAGAAUGUAUCACAUGGGCCUUUGUGCCUAUACAACUUUAUACAACUUUCAGCAACGGAUCUCUUGGCUCUC